RNAcentral lists this ribosomal RNA (468 nucleotides) under uncultured bacterium. Its description in RNAcentral is "partial 16S ribosomal RNA". It matches the Rfam family "Bacterial small subunit ribosomal RNA", at positions 28 to 507 of the family's 1533-position model. The record is from RNAcentral.
GACGAACGCUGGCGGCGUGCUUAACACAUGCAAGUCGAACGGAAAGGCCCUGCUUUUGUGGGGUGCUCGAGUGGCGAACGGGUGAGUAACACGUGAGUAACCUGCCCUUGACUUUGGGAUAACUUCAGGAAACUGGGGCUAAUACCGGAUAGGAGCUCCUGCUGCAUGGUGGGGGUUGGAAAGUUUCGGCGGUUGGGGAUGGACUCGCGGCUUAUCAGCUUGUUGGUGGGGUAGUGGCUUACCAAGGGUUUGACGGGUAGCCGGCCUGAGAGGGUGACCGGCCACAUUGGGACUGAGAUACGGCCCAGACUCCUACGGGAGGCAGCAGUGGGGAAUAUUGCACAAUGGGCGGAAGCCUGAUGCAGCAACGUCGCGUGCGGGAUGACGGCCUUCGGGUUGUAAACCGCUUUCGCCUGUGACGAAGCGUGAGUGACGGUAAUGGGUAAAGAAGCACCGGCUAACUACGUG